UUGCGAGAUGCUUCAUGAACCACCAAAACACAAAACGCGAGCUUGUUGAACUUGUGUCUCUGUAAGAAUAAUCUACGCGUUGAGCAUUUACCACUUGCCUCAUACCUAGCCCGAGACGACCUACCACAAAGGAUCGAAUUAGUCACUCUGGUCGAACUUGGAGUCAGAAUGGACUUUGUUUUAGGCUGGAGGAAACUUUUUUCAUUUCUUCCAGUCUUAUUGGCUGCCGUUGGCGUUUGUGGUGACACGUGCAAAGUCACCCAUCAGGGCAAAGCAACGACGUACAACAUCUCAAACCCUAAGAGCAAUCCAACGUGUGAUUACAGCUGGGCUGAUUCUAAUCUGUUGGUACUGGCAACUGAUGCCGAACCCGAAGGAAAAGGAAUUAUAUCCUCAUCUCACUCCUCUCUCACUUUGCUUGGAUGCUGGAAGAAUGUUUGUGUUACAAUUUAUUGCCAUCUGAAGCUGACUUCACUGCUGCACCAGAACCUCCAGUUGGUGCAUUUGGUGACACGUGCACAGUCACCCAUCAGGGCAAAGCAACGACGUACAACAUCUCAAACCCUAAGAGCAAUCCAACGUGUGAAUACAGCUGGGCUGAUUCUAAUCUAUUGGUACUGGCAACUGAUGCCGAACCCGAAGGAAAAGGAAUUAUAUCCUCAUCUCACUCCUCUCUCACUUUGCUUGGAUGCUGGAAGAAUGCUUGUGUUACAAUUUAUUGCCAUCUGA
RNAcentral lists this long non-coding RNA (729 nucleotides) under Gadus morhua (Atlantic cod). RNAcentral's name for it is "lncRNA (ENSGMOG00000031392.1)". The record is from RNAcentral. Lineage: Eukaryota; Metazoa; Chordata; Actinopteri; Gadiformes; Gadidae.